GCUUAGUAGCUGGGGUGCCGAAAGGAGCGCAGAGACAGGUGCUGCAUGGCUGUCGUCAGCUCGUGUCGUGAGAUGUUGGGUUAAGUCCCGCAACGAGCGCAACCCUUGUCUACUGUUGCCAUCAGGUUAAGCUGGGCACUCUGUAGAGACUGCCGGUGAUAAACCGGAGGAAGGUGGGGAUGACGUCAAGUCAGCAUGGCCUUUAUGUCUGGGGCUACACACGUGCUACAAUGGCCGGUACAAAGCGCUGCAAGCCCGCGAGGGGGAGCUAAUCACAUAAAGCCGGUCUCAGUUCGGAUUGUAGGCUGCAACUCGCCUGCAUGAAGUUGGAAUCGCUAGUAAUCGCAGAUCAGCAGGCUGCGGUGAAUACGUUCCCGGGCCUUGUACACACCGCCCGUCACAUCACGAAAGCUGG
Molecule: ribosomal RNA, 415 nt
Filed under: uncultured bacterium
Lineage: Bacteria
Description: bacterial SSU rRNA
Rfam family: Bacterial small subunit ribosomal RNA
Source: RNAcentral